This 91-nucleotide transfer RNA is filed under the name Sus scrofa (pig). It matches the Rfam family "tRNA". From Rfam's summary of the family: Transfer RNA (tRNA) molecules are approximately 80 nucleotides in length. The record is from Rfam by way of RNAcentral. Lineage: Eukaryota; Metazoa; Chordata; Mammalia; Artiodactyla; Suidae.
UCCCCUGUGGUUCAGAGGUUUAAGAAUCCAGCAUUGUCACUGAAGUGCUCAGGUCAUUGCUGUGGUGGAGGUUCAAUCCCUUGCAUGGGAA